GGGAGCGCCUGUCUUUCCUGUUUUCUGGGCAUCCUCUGAGAUGAUUUAUUGGAGCUCAGAGUUUUGAG
Molecule: unclassified non-coding RNA, 68 nt
Organism: Microcebus murinus (gray mouse lemur)
Lineage: Eukaryota; Metazoa; Chordata; Mammalia; Primates; Cheirogaleidae
Source: Ensembl